UACCAGCACCCCGAGUGGUCGGGACGAUUAUUGGGCCUAAAGCAUCCGUAGCCGGUACUACAAGUCUUCCGUUAAAUCCACCUGCUUAACAGAUGGGCUGCGGAGGAUACUAUAGAGCUAGGAGGCGGGAGAGGCAAGCGGUACUUAGUGGGUAGGGGUAAAAUCCGUUGAUCCAUUGAAGACCACCAGUGGCGAAGGCGGCUUGCCAGAACGCACUCGACGGUGAGGGAUGAAAGCUGGGGGAGCAAACCGG
RNAcentral lists this ribosomal RNA (253 nucleotides) under uncultured bacterium. RNAcentral's name for it is "partial 16S ribosomal RNA". It matches the Rfam family "Archaeal small subunit ribosomal RNA", at positions 474 to 727 of the family's 1478-position model. The record is from RNAcentral.